Molecule: transfer RNA, 73 nt
Filed under: Otolemur garnettii (small-eared galago)
Lineage: Eukaryota; Metazoa; Chordata; Mammalia; Primates; Galagidae
Rfam family: tRNA
About the family: Transfer RNA (tRNA) molecules are approximately 80 nucleotides in length.
Source: Rfam by way of RNAcentral
GUCCAGCUAGCUCAGUCGGUAAAGCAUAAGAUUCUUAAUCUCAGGAUAGUGGGUUCAAGUCCAACAUUGGACG